RNAcentral lists this long non-coding RNA (387 nucleotides) under Rattus norvegicus (Norway rat). RNAcentral's name for it is "long non-coding RNA NONRATT018398". The record is from RNAcentral. Lineage: Eukaryota; Metazoa; Chordata; Mammalia; Rodentia; Muridae.
AAUUAACACUUCAGAAAGUCCAGAAUGCAAUAUUCCCACCAACUGUGUUUGAGUGUCCUUCCCCACCCACUGGCCAGAGCUGGGUCUUCCACAUCUGUGUAGCUUUCAUGGAUUCCAAUCCUAUUGGUGGGAAAGCUACUCAGCAAAUUUGCAUGCAUUUGAUUACAGACGAGGGAAAGCAACUUUUUAGUUCUUACUGCCUUUUCCUCCCCAUUCCUUGCCUCUUGAGUCAUGCUUGCUUUUCUCCUUGUGGGUACUCAUCCUUUCCUGGAUGGUUUUCAAGCUCACAUUAUGUAUAUGAAUUAUUAACUCUUAUACCACAUGCUACAGAUAGGAAACCUCCCCUCCUAGACAUCUGUCUUGGAAAUAAAUACUAAUUUUUUGGCA